AAACUUCGGAAGAAGGGGUGCUCCGGUAACGUGGACUGGCUUGCCCAGCGAGCGUGAGGGAGUUGCAGUGAAAUGGCUCAGGCGACUGUUUACUAAAAACACAGGGCUCUGCAAAGUCGAAAACGACGUAUAGGGUCUGACGCCUGCCCGGUGCCGGAAGGUUAAAGGGAGGGGUUAGCCGCAAGGCGAAGCUCUGAACUGAAGCCCCGGUAAACGGCGGCCGUGACUAUAACGGUCCUAAGGUAGCGAAAUUCCUUGUCGGGUAAGUUCCGACCUGCACGAAUGGCGUAACGAUCUGAGCGCUGUCUCAACGAGUGGCACUGCGAAUUUGUGGUACCGGUGAAGACGCCGGUUGCCCGUGAUAAGACGAAAAGACCCCGUGCACCUUUACUACAACUUAGUAGUGAAUGUUGACGUGUCAUGCGCAGGAUAGGUGGGAGACUAUGAACCGGGCCUCUUGGGGUCCGGGGAGUCAAUGGUGAGAUACCACCCUUGAUACUUCGACGUUCUAACCUCCACCCGUGAUCCGGGUGAGGGACACUGCUAGGCGGGUAGUUUGACUGGGGCGGUCGCCUCCCAAAUUGUAACGGAGGCGCGCGAAGGUUCGCUCAGGCUGUUUGGAAAUCAGCCGUAGAGUGCAAAGGCAUAAGCGAGCUUGACUGCGAGACGUACAUGUCGAGCAGGUGGGAAACCAGGCCUUAGUGAUCCGGUGGUUCCGCAUGGAAGGGCCAUCGCUCAACGGAUAAAAGGUACGCCGGAUAACGGGCUGAUCGCUUCCAAGAGUUCACAUCGACGAAGCGGUUUGGCACCUCGAUGUCGGCUCAUCGCAUCCUGGAGCUGUAGCAGGUUCCAAGGGUCCGGCUGUUCGCCGGUUAAAGCGGUACGUGAGCUGGGUUUAGAACGUCGCGAGACAGUUCGGUCUCUAUCUAUCAUGGGCGCAGGAGAUUUGAGUGGGGCUGACCUUAGUACGAGAGGACCGGGUUGGACGAACCUCCAGUAUACCGGUUGUCGCGCCAGCGGCAGCGCCGGGUAGCUGCGUUCGGAAGGGAGGAACGCUGAAGGCAUCUAAACGUGAAACCCUCCACAAGAUGAGAUCUCCCCAGCCGAAAGGCUCUGAAGGCUCCUGGAAGACUACCAGGUGAUAGGCCAGGUGUGUAAGCGUGGCGACACGCUCAGCUUACUGGUACUAAUCAGCCGUGAGGCUUGAC
This 1208-nucleotide ribosomal RNA is filed under the name metagenome. Its description in RNAcentral is "bacterial LSU rRNA". It matches the Rfam family "Bacterial large subunit ribosomal RNA", at positions 1731 to 2925 of the family's 2925-position model. The record is from RNAcentral.